This 253-nucleotide ribosomal RNA is filed under the name uncultured bacterium. RNAcentral describes it as "partial 16S ribosomal RNA". It matches the Rfam family "Bacterial small subunit ribosomal RNA", at positions 524 to 776 of the family's 1533-position model. The record is from RNAcentral.
UACGUAGGGUGCAAGCGUUGUCCGGAAUUAUUGGGCGUAAAGAGCUCGUAGGCGGUCUGUCACGUCGGCUGUGAAAUCCCGAGGCUCAACCUCGGGUCUGCAAUCGAUACGGGCAGACUAGAGUUCGGUAGGGGAGACUGGAAUUCCUGGUGUAGCGGUGAAAUGCGCAGAUAUCAGGAGGAACACCGGUGGCGAAGGCGGGUCUCUGGGCCGAAACUGACGCUGAGGAGCGAAAGCGUGGGGAGCGAACGGG